AGAACACAGAGCAAAAAAUUUGAUUCGAGAUUUGCUUGUUGAGAGAGGGAAAUUCAAUAACUGAUUAUGAGCAUCUCCCUCAUCUAUGUCUAGAGGGAUCCUUGUUUGGUUUAUCUCAAGCAACCUGAGAUUUUUAGACCUAGAUGGAGGAGAUUGUGAUAAUCAGUUGGGAGCUGUGGAGUAUGUUGAGGAAUAUUUUGUACAGAUACUACGAUUGAAUAGUAAUACAUACAUGCAUUCACUGAAAUAAUGAGAUUAUCGUGUCUAAUUUUAAGAUUUCAUCAUCCAAAAGUCAAAGCCUAGUUCGUGACUAUUUGGGGAUUCACAGCCUCAAAUCAAUGAGAUCUGGUUCAUUGAAGUUACUAGGCAUGAGUUCUAUGCCGAUUGCUAGUGAAUAUGAAGAAAUUUGGGCACCAGAGUUGCUUUGAGGGAGUUGAGGUUGGAGAAGAAUUUGUUGUUCUAGGUUGAGUAUUUGGGGAUUCACAGCCUCAGAUCAAUGAGAUCUGGUUGAUUGAAGUUACUAGGAAGGAGAUUUAUGCUCAUUGCUAGUGAAUAUCAAGAAAUUUGGGCACCAGCAUUUCUUCUGAAAUUGGAGGUGCGGUUGCUUUGAGGGAGGUGAGGUUGGAGAAGAAUUCGUUGUUCUGGAAAAAGUGUUCAUCUUUAACCACCCUUUUCGAGCAUUGAAUUCUCUGCUAAAGCACAAAGCAGGCCACCACUCAGUUCCGUGAACUGAGAGGCGCACCACCCGGUUCCGUGAACUGGGAGAUGCAAAGGCAAGCCACUGCUCGGUUCUGUGAACUGAGCGGAGGGCAAAUGCAAUUGCAUACAGGUAUUGGCAUAAUGUUCGUUUCAAAUAAAAAGGUAAAUUUUUUUAACUCUAAUAUGCUCAUUAUGUUUUGCAUAAAAUUUGUUUCUAACUUGAGCGUCGGAGUAUCUUUUCUGUUUUUUUGCAGGUCUUGCCUUUGUAUUCCUAUUACAAAUUCAAUUAGCAGAGUUGUUGAAAUGGAAUGCUGGUGCCUCGUGGAGAUGUUAUCUGUGUUAUUUUUUACUAUGUUUUGCAUAAAUUUGUUUCUAACUUGAGCGUCAGAGUGUCUUUUUUGUUUUUUGCAGAUCUUGCCUACGACCAAUUCAAUUAGCUGAGUUGUUGAAACAGAACGCUUUUACUAUUUGCAUAGAAUUGUUCUAACUUUAGCAUCGGAGUAUCUUUUUUGUUUUUUGCAGGUCCUGCCUUUGUAUUCCAACUAUGACCAAUAGAGUUGUUGAAACAGAAGGCUGGUGCCUCAUUGGGAAUGCUAUUAUGUUUGGCUUUUGAAUAUGCAUCAGUUUGCCUUUAGGGUAUGUCUGACUUCUAAGGAUACAAAUGGAGACUGAUCAGUCCUUUGAAUUGUAUACUGACGAGACCCUCCUUGCCCCUAAUGGAGGCUACAUUUUGACUUAAAAGUGUUGCCUGCUUAUUUGGAGGCCACUCAUUAGGGAGAAUUUGUAAAGUGGAAUGCUGGUGCCUGGUAGAGAAUGCUUUCGUGCUUAAAAGUAUACCAGUCUGUUGCCAGGGGUCAAAGAGCUUAAUAUUAUAUUGAGUGUGAAGGAUAUGUAUCCUUUCACUUGUGUACACUAACGAUGCUACAUGGAAUCCCUUGCUGAUAAACCAAACAAGGAUCCCAUUCUGGACAUAGAUGGAGGAGGAAAUGCUGAUAAUCAGUUGGAAGUACAUCGAAGAAUCGUACAAAUAUUACAAGCCUUGCAGAGGUAAUUCUCUUUAAUUGUAGCUCAAUUUUCACCUCAUAUAAAUAAUACAUUCUCUUAAAAUAAUUAUGUCUAAUUUUAAGAUCCCAUCAUGCACAAGUGAAGCCUAAUUCACGACUAUACGGGGAAACAUAGGAUGGUUUUUGUAGACUGGUUCACAGCAUAUUUGAACUCGCCCCUGAAACCCUUUUUCUUUCCACGCCCAUUGUUGUAAAAUAAGAGUUGCAGCAGUGUAGUUCACAUAUGGGCAUGCGCUAAGCCGCUCAUGCGGCAUGGUGGGUGGUGCAUGUGUAGAGUUUGGUGUGCUGGUAUGCCAUGACCAGUGGACCGACCAUGAGCAGUUAAUAGGCAUCAGUUAUCUGGUAGAAGUUCCAUUUGAAAUAAUGAUGAAAUUGCUUACGUCCUAAUGCAGGCUUGGAGUGACUUCAUACAGAACUUAUACCAGAGAACUUUUGUGACUAAGAUUCUCAUUAUGUUUUUGACUUGCUAUAUGAUGCAGAGAAGUUGGUAGGACCUCGACUCAUCAUAAUACAUGAAUUGUCUGAAUUAUACUGUUGUCUUGUAUCUUGACUCUUCAGUCCUUUGAAUGAGCACAUUGAAUACUCGUCGUCCACUUUUCAGUAAACCCACUUGUCAGGCACAAAAUAUCUCUAGUCAAUAGUCAUACACUAUGUUCUAGCUGUAAACAUACUGUCUGAUGUUGACAAAGCUAUGCCCGACCCUUUGGCCAAGACACAGAGAGUUCACCCGGUUUCAGUAUCAGCUCAGCCCGCCAUCCCCUAUAAUAGGGGGUUGGGAUUAAUCUGUAGUUCCCUCCAAAGCGGUAAGAAAAACUCCAUGCCAAGGAGAUGUGCAUCUCUGCAAUAUCAUUUCUGAAUAUGGGCCUUUGGGCAAAUAAAGUGUGUAUAUAAGUCCACCUGUGUAUAUUGUCUUUAACUAAAAACGUGAGGCUGCAGUCUAAUGUGUCAGCUCAAUUCACUUUCUGAUAAGCAAAAGUAAAUAAAUAAAAGCUUAA
This is a long non-coding RNA of Papaver somniferum (opium poppy), 2758 nucleotides long. RefSeq lists it as uncharacterized. Lineage: Eukaryota; Viridiplantae; Streptophyta; Magnoliopsida; Ranunculales; Papaveraceae. The transcript has 6 exons. The record is from RefSeq and is a predicted model, not a curated record.